CAACGACUCUCAGCAACGGAUAUCUCGGCUCUCGCAUCGAUGAAGAACGUAGCGAAAUGCGAUACUUGGUGUGAAUUGCAGAAUCCCGUGAACCAUCGAGUCUUUGAACGCAAGUUGCGCCCGAAGCCGUCAGGCCGAGGGCACGUCUGCCUGGGCGUCACGC
This 163-nucleotide ribosomal RNA is filed under the name Tiquilia hispidissima. RNAcentral's name for it is "5.8S ribosomal RNA". It matches the Rfam family "5.8S ribosomal RNA". Rfam says of the family: 5.8S ribosomal RNA (5.8S rRNA) is a component of the large subunit of the eukaryotic ribosome. It is transcribed by RNA polymerase I as part of the 45S precursor that also contains 18S and 28S rRNA. Functionally, it is thought that 5.8S rRNA may be involved in ribosome translocation. The record is from RNAcentral. Lineage: Eukaryota; Viridiplantae; Streptophyta; Magnoliopsida; Boraginales; Ehretiaceae.